UUUUACUUAGUUUUAAUCAAUCAAAAUAAUAACUUGUCGAGUUAUAGAAAAUAUAAAUUAUUAGUAAAAU
Physella acuta is the source of this 70-nucleotide non-coding RNA. The record is from the annotation of a RefSeq genome assembly. Lineage: Eukaryota; Metazoa; Mollusca; Gastropoda; Physidae.